This 368-nucleotide ribosomal RNA is filed under the name uncultured eukaryote. Its description in RNAcentral is "partial 18S ribosomal RNA". It matches the Rfam family "Eukaryotic small subunit ribosomal RNA", at positions 592 to 976 of the family's 1831-position model. The record is from RNAcentral.
CAGUAGCGUAUAUUAAAGUUGUUGCAGUUAAAAUGCUCGUAGUUGAAGUUCGGAUGCAGCAGAGCUUGGAAACGCUGUUAUGGUGCUUCCGUUGCUUUUGCUUGUCCACAGUGCGUUGCAAGUACGUAUGUGCUUGUGCGUGCAUUUUACUUUGAGAAACAUAGGGUGUUCCACGCAUGUUACGGCAUGAAUAUUCCAGCAUGGGAUAAUCUGGUACGACUUCCAAUCUGCCAUUUUGGUUCGUAGGUUGGAAGUAAUGAUUAAUAGGGACUGUCGGGGGCAUUGGUAUUUGACUGUCAGAGGUGAAAUUCUUAGAUUCGUUGAGGACCAACCACUGCGAAAGCAUCUGCCAAGGACGUUUCUUUUGA